AUACAUGCAAGUCGAACGCUUCUUUCCUCCCGAGUGCUUGCACUCAAUUGGAAAGAGGAGUGGCGGACGGGUGAGUAACACGUGGGUAACCUACCCAUCAGAGGGGGAUAACACUUGGAAACAGGUGCUAAUACCGCAUAACAGUUUAUGCCGCAUGGCAUAAGAGUGAAAGGCGCUUUCGGGUGUCGCUGAUGGAUGGACCCGCGGUGCAUUAGCUAGUUGGUGAGGUAACGGCUCACCAAGGCCACGAUGCAUAGCCGACCUGAGAGGGUGAUCGGCCACACUGGGACUGAGACACGGCCCAGACUCCUACGGGAGGCAGCAGUAGGGAAUCUUCGGCAAUGGACGAAAGUCUGACCGAGCAACGCCGCGUGAGUGAAGAAGGUUUUCGGAUCGUAAAACUCUGUUGUUAGAGAAGAACAAGGACGUUAGUAACUGAACGUCCCCUGACGGUAUCUAACCAGAAAGCCACGGCUAACUACGUGCCAGCAGCCGCGGUAAUACGUAGGUGGCAAGCGUUGUCCGGAUUUAUUGGGCGUAAAGCGAGCGCAGGCGGUUUCUUAAGUCUGA
This 570-nucleotide ribosomal RNA is filed under the name Enterococcus faecalis. Its description in RNAcentral is "bacterial SSU rRNA". It matches the Rfam family "Bacterial small subunit ribosomal RNA", at positions 51 to 592 of the family's 1533-position model. Lineage: Bacteria; Bacillati; Bacillota; Bacilli; Lactobacillales; Enterococcaceae. The record is from RNAcentral.